Molecule: long non-coding RNA, 1987 nt
Filed under: Pelobates cultripes (western spadefoot toad)
Lineage: Eukaryota; Metazoa; Chordata; Amphibia; Anura; Pelobatidae
Source: RNAcentral
CUCUGACAAAGCCCACCUGAGCAGAGUAAAUACUAGGUGGAAGGAUGGAUACUAAUCUGUUUGCGAACAGUUUAGGAAAAUUAUUUGCAUCAGAUUGUUUUUUUUUUUUUCAUUCUUUAUUUUGUCGUGCAUAUAGAAUACAUAGAUAUGAGCAAUGCCAGAAGAGCUAUUACCCGCCAAGUGAUCGACAUGUAGACAGUUGUAUGGCAUCUAAUAACACUGCACAUUUUAUAAUAUAUUGUGUGCCAGACUAUGCAUAACAUGGGUAAACAGUAACUUGAACGUGGUUUACAGACCUGCAUAACUUUUGGGUCAACAAGUUGGUAGAGGUCAGGUUAGUACUGUGGGUGCCCUUCUGCUCGUGCGGGUUAAGAGAGCAAGCCUGUGCCAAACCCAUUGCAGAAAAAGUGCCACAGUGGGUCGCCCCAAGAAACUGGCUGUUAGAAUCCUAUAGCAAAUUUGAGUAAUAACCACUACUAUGAAAAGCUAUGGGUCCAUGUUUAUCAUACAUGUUAGGCAGGUUAUGAGUUAACUUUUAUAUAUGAGUAGGAGUACAUAGGCCAGCACUUACAGUGCAUGCUAGACAGAUCAAAAGGGCUACAUUUGGGUCUGAAUAUGCUGAAAACAUUAGUGCAGUGCAGGCAUGGUAAUUUCUUGAGGCGUUAUUGCAUUAUUAUUUAAAAUGAGUUAAUGGCAUUAGCUUACUAGGUAUGGCUUGAACUCUAAGGCAUACAGGGCAACGAAGGCAAUGCAUAAAACAGGGUAAAAGUGGUAAUCUAGUCCAAGUGUGUAUAUUCAAUAUUCUGUAGGGGACAGAAGAGUAAUCAAACUUUAAGUUGCCUGUGUGUGCCAGGAGGACACCGGGUGGUGUGGUUACCGCAGGCUUUGCAUGCUUGUUGAGUGUCCUUGUGGGCUGCCUAGCCGAUGCCCCGCUCUGGGAGGUUGCAGGUACAUGUUUGCCAGAGUCCAGCGAGCUGUAUGUGUGGGGUUCUCCAAUACUGGGUUCCGGUGUACUGCUGUGAGCCUGUUGCAUCCGUUCUGCGGUAGAGUGUUGCUGAGGCUCGGGGUCUCCUUGUGUAGCGUGGUCUCCCAGGUUGCUUGGUGUUCUAUGGGAUGGGAGGUUCACUUGGAGGGGGUAUUCUCUGGAGGUGUCGCUGCAUAGGUGUAGGGCGGCAUACCACUGAUCCGAUUUUGCGGUGUCGGGGUUGUCGUUGGUUCCCCGCCUUCUCCCCCCGCUACUCGAGCCGCUCCACGUCCCCAUCCAGGAGCUGCUGGCUGCUGUGUGAGGUUCUGUGGGAUCUUUGCAGGUGGUUCCGUCUCACGGAUUCUCCGGCAAGAGGCAAGAUUGGCCCAGAAGUCGUUUAGUAAGCGAUCAAGCCUCUCCGAUAGAGGGGGCAGCGGGAAACUGGGUGUAGAGUUGUGUGUGGUGUCCGCCAUGCUGUGCCCCGCUCGUUCAGCAAUGCUGGUAUAGCAACAUGAGGCGUCCGCCAUUUUGUGGACUUUAGAGGCUUCCUCCGAACUUAGUGCUUGUUCCCCUCGGGGGCAGCUUGACCAGGUGCUCAAGUGGGGCCGGCCUGGGAUAACCCCUGCCGGGGCCAUGGAGGGGGGAACAAGGGCUCCCUGUCGGGUGUCCUGUCAUUUUUAACAGCAGGAGAGCGUCCAUCUCACCCGCGUGUGCCAUGUUAAGAGGUUGUUAAAGGGUGUCGAGUGUGUGUCGCUUGUCAGGUAUCUGUGCGUACUCCCCGAUGUACCCUUGCUCCGGGUGGCCUUAGUUUCUUGUUUUUUCUCUGUGUUUGCGAUUUAUGUCGCUUAAUAUGGUCCCUUCAAACAGAGCUGUUGAGGCAAGCAUCCUCUCUGCUCCACGAUCAGGCCCCGCCUCUCUGCAUCAGAUUUUAAUAAGGAUAUUGAUCUAAAGUUUGAGCGAGGAUGGAAGAGAACCGUUUGCAAUAUAGUUUUGUGAAGCCUUUCCGCUCGGGCGCAUUGUGAG